This 253-nucleotide ribosomal RNA is filed under the name uncultured bacterium. RNAcentral's name for it is "partial 16S ribosomal RNA". It matches the Rfam family "Bacterial small subunit ribosomal RNA", at positions 524 to 776 of the family's 1533-position model. The record is from RNAcentral.
UACAGAGGGUGCGAGCGUUAAUCGGAAUUACUGGGCGUAAAGCGUGCGUAGACGGUUAUCUAAGUCGGAUGUGAAAGCCCCCGGCUCAACCGGGGAGGGUGGCUGGAAACUGGGGUUCUUGAGGGCGAGAGAGGAGGGUGGAAUUCCUGGUGUAGCGGUGAAAUGCGUAGAGAUCAGGAGGAACACCCGGGGCGAAGGCGGCCCUCUGGCUCGACCCUGACGCUGAGGCGCGAAAGCGUGGGGAGCGAACGGG